GCUAGUGGAUGUGAAGUGGUAUCUCAUUGUGGUUUUGGCUUGCAUACUCCUCAUGAUUAAGGAUGCUGAACUUCUUUUCAUAUGCUUAUUGGCCAUUUGUGUAUAUAUCUUCUUUUAGAGAAAUGUCUAUUUAAGUCCUUUGACCCAUUUAUGUGUCCUUGCCCCUGGUGAGGUCUCUCUUAUUCUGUUGCUUGGCUGGUCCCUAUCCUGCCAAUAGUAAUGGGCCCUUCUUCACCCUGAUGAUGGCCCUGUUGGCCUGUCGGCAAUCCCUGGGACCUCUUCUUGGGUGUGAAUUCCUGGGUAACAUUUCUAAUGAAGUCAUCCAUUCCCACCAAGUGGAAUACUUAGUUAACUGGCAUUUCUCUACUUUCAGGUUGUUGGCAUGGAGUAGAGGGUGAGGAGGCCCAUCCCAAGCAGAAUGUUUCUGUAGAAGUGUUACAGGUCAGGAUCCCUAAUGCAGAUCCUUCCACCAAGAAAGCUAACUCCUGUGACAUGUGUGGGCCAUUCUUGAAAGACAUUUUGCACCUGGCUGAGCAUCAGGGAACACACUCUGAGGAGAAACCCUACACAUGUGGAGCAUGUGGGAGAGACUUUUGGUUGAAUGCAAACCUUCACCAGCACCAGAAGGAGCAUAGUGGAGGGAAGCCCUUUAGAUGGUACAAGGACAGGGACGCACUUUUGAAGAGCUCUAAAGUCCACCUGUCAGAGAACCCCUUCACUUGCAGGGAAGGUGGGAAGGUCAUCCUGGGCAGCUGUGACCUCCUCCAGCUUCAAGCUGUUGACAGCGGGCAGAAGCCAUAUUCCAAUCUUGGGCAGCUUCCAGAAGUCUGUACCACACAGAAACUCUUCGAGUGCAGCAACUGUGGAAAAGCCUUCCUGAAGAGCUCCACUCUCCUCAACCAUCUGAGAACUCACUCUGAAGAGAUACCAUUUACAUGCCCAACAGAUGGAAAUUUCUUAGAGGAGAAAUCAAUCCUUGGUAAUCAAAAAUUUCACACUGGGGAAAUACCCCAUGUGUGUAAGGAGUGUGGGAAGGCCUUUAGUCACUCAUCUAAGCUGAGGAAGCACCAGAAAUUUCACACUGAAGUAAAAUAUUAUGAGUGCAUUGCAUGUGGGAAAACCUUCAACCACAAACUCACAUUUGUUCAUCAUCAGAGAAUUCACUCAGGAGAAAGACCUUAUGAGUGCAGUGAAUGUGGGAAAGCAUUCAGUAACAGAUCACACCUCAUUCGGCAUGAGAAAGUUCACACUGGAGAAAGGCCUUUUGAGUGCCUGAAAUGUGGAAGAGCCUUCAGCCAAAGCUCCAAUUUCCUUCGGCAUCAGAAAGUUCACACACAGGUAAGACCUUAUGGGUGCAGUCAAUGUGGUAAAUCCUUCAGCCGAAGCUCUGCUCUCAUUCAGCACUGGAGAGUUCACACUGGAGAAAGACCGUAUGAAUGCAGUGAGUGUGGAAGAGCUUUUAACAAUAACUCCAACCUUGCUCAGCACCAGAAAGUUCACACUGGAGAACGGCCUUUUGAGUGCAGUGAAUGUGGAAGAGACUUCAGCCAAAGCUCCCAUCUCCUUCGACAUCAGAAAGUUCACACUGGAGAACGGCCUUUUGAAUGCAGUGAUUGUGGUAAAGCCUUCGGUAAUAGCUCCACCCUCAUCCAGCACCAGAAAGUACAUACUGGGCAAAGGCCUUAUGAGUGCAGCGAAUGUAGGAAAUCCUUCAGCCGCAGCUCCAGCCUGAUUCAGCACUGGAGAAUUCACACUGGAGAAAAGCCUUAUGAGUGUAGUGAGUGUGGGAAAGCCUUUGCUCACAGCUCCACUCUCAUUGAACACUGGAGAGUUCACACAAAAGAAAGGCCGUAUGAGUGCAAUGAAUGUGGGAAAUUCUUUAGCCAAAACUCCAUUCUCAUUAAGCAUCAGAAAGUUCAUACUGGAGAAAAGCCUUAUAAAUGCAGUGAAUGUGGGAAAUUCUUUAGCCGAAAAUCUAGUCUUAUUUGUCACUGGAGAGUUCACACUGGAGAAAGGCCUUAUGAAUGCAGUGAAUGUGGGAGAGCCUUUAGCAGUAACUCCCACCUGGUUCGUCAUCAGAGAGUUCACACACAAGAAAGGCCCUAUGAGUGCAUCCAGUGUGGAAAAGCCUUUAGUGAAAGAUCUACACUUGUUCGGCACCAGAAAGUUCACACCAGAGAAAGGACUUAUGAGUGUAGCCAGUGUGGGAAACUCUUCAGCCAUCUUUGUAACCUUGCACAGCAUAAAAAGAUUCAUACCUGAGUAGAGCCUUAUGGAAGUGGUCUUUGUGAGAAAAUCUUCAGCCAAGUCAAACUUCAUGCAGCAGAAUCCCCAUACCAGAAAAAUUACCUACAUG
RNAcentral lists this small RNA (2356 nucleotides) under Pongo abelii (Sumatran orangutan). RNAcentral's name for it is "retained intron". Lineage: Eukaryota; Metazoa; Chordata; Mammalia; Primates; Hominidae. The record is from RNAcentral.